GGUAGUCCACGCCGUAAACGAUGUCGACUUGGAGGUCGUGCCCUUGAGGCGUGGCUUCCGGAGCUAACGCGUUAAGUCGACCGCCUGGGGAGUACGGCCGCAAGGUUAAAACUCAAAUGAAUUGACGGGGGCCCGCACAAGCGGUGGAGCAUGUGGUUUAAUUCGAUGCAACGCGAAGAACCUUACCUACUCUUGACAUCCAGAGAACUUAGCAGAGAUGCUUUGGUGCCUUCGGGAACUCUGAGACAGGUGCUGCAUGGCUGUCGUCAGCUCGUGUUGUGAAAUGUUGGGUUAAGUCCCGCAACGAGCGCAACCCUUAUCCUUUGUUGCCAGCGGUUAGGCCGGGAACUCAAAGGAGACUGCCAGUGAUAAACUGGAGGAAGGUGGGGAUGACGUCAAGUCAUCGUGGCCCUUACGAGUAGGGCUACACACGUACUACAAUGGCGCAUACAAAGAGAAGCGACCUCGCGAGAGCAAGCGGACCUCAUAAAGUGCGUCGUAGUCCGGAUUGGAGUCUGCAACUCGACUCCAUGAAGUCGGAAUCGCUAGUAAUCGUAGAUCAGAAUGCUACGGUGAAUACGUUCCCGGGCCUUGUACACACCGCCCGUCACACCAUGGGAGUGGGUUGCAAAAGAAGUAGGUAGCUUAACCUUCGGGAGGGCGCUUACCACUUUGUGAUUCAUGACUGGGGUGAAGUCGUAACAAGGUAACCGUAGGGGAACCUGC
RNAcentral lists this ribosomal RNA (726 nucleotides) under uncultured bacterium. RNAcentral describes it as "bacterial SSU rRNA". It matches the Rfam family "Bacterial small subunit ribosomal RNA", at positions 789 to 1515 of the family's 1533-position model. The record is from RNAcentral.